GGUUGGAUUUCUCCUUGACUUGACUCAUUGCUCACAUUCAUGAGGACCAAAUUCUCAACUCACCACAUGGACAAGGACGAAAGGUUCUGCCCCCAUUUGCUCACACACAGCUCAAUAGUUAAGGAAUGUAGGAUCUUCGGUCUGAUCCUUUCAUUCAGUUAUUCACUACUACAGUCUGGCAAAAGGACAUCCACAAGGUGCUUUAUCAAGGAACACAAAGAUUCAGUAAUAAUUCACUUAAUCUUCAAAUGAAUCUUUUUAUGCAUCAA
Drosophila willistoni is the source of this 269-nucleotide long non-coding RNA. RefSeq lists it as uncharacterized. The record is from RefSeq and is a predicted model, not a curated record. The transcript has 2 exons. Lineage: Eukaryota; Metazoa; Arthropoda; Insecta; Diptera; Drosophilidae.